RNAcentral lists this ribosomal RNA (499 nucleotides) under uncultured bacterium. Its description in RNAcentral is "partial 16S ribosomal RNA". It matches the Rfam family "Bacterial small subunit ribosomal RNA", at positions 28 to 507 of the family's 1533-position model. The record is from RNAcentral.
GACGAACGCUGGCGGCGUGCCUAAUACAUGCCAGUCGAGCGAAGUUUUUCUGGUGCUUGCACCGGAAAAACUUAGCGGCGAACGGGUGAGUAACACGUAAAGAACCUGCCUCAUAGACUGGGACAACUAUUGGAAACGAUAGCUAAUACCGGAUAACAGCAUUAACUGCAUGGUUGAUGUUUAAAAGUUGGUUUUGCUAACACUAUGAGAUGGCUUUGCGGUGCAUUAGCUAGUUGGUGGGGUAAAGGCCUACCAAGGCGACGAUGCAUAGCCGACCUGAGAGGGUGAUCGGCCACACUGGGACUGAGACACGGCCCAGACUCCUACGGGAGGCAGCAGUAGGGAAUCUUCCGCAAUGGGCGAAAGCCUGACGGAGCAACGCCGCGUGAGUGAAGAAGGAUUUCGGUUCGUAAAGCUCUGUUGUUAGGGAAGUAUGAUUGUGUAGUAACUAUACACAGUAGAGACGGUACCUAACCAGAAAGCCACGGCUAACUACGUG